RNAcentral lists this long non-coding RNA (1291 nucleotides) under Dermacentor andersoni. RNAcentral's name for it is "uncharacterized LOC126537805". The record is from RNAcentral. Lineage: Eukaryota; Metazoa; Arthropoda; Arachnida; Ixodida; Ixodidae.
CGCUGUGCGACAUAAUUUUAAACGUGUGAUUAGUUUUGUGCGCGGUGUAGAAAAAGGUGUGGCCCGUGCUUUGUGUAUUACUCGUGGUCCACUUCAAAGCAAAGCGUUCGUACGCACUGGAAGAUGCAUCCACGGACGCUGAGACGAGCAGUUGCAACGUGCCCUGUGUCGGCGGUCGGUAGUACUGCCAUAAUGGAAAUUUUCAGGCAAUGUUGCCGCCUGAAAGCCGAGUUUGGUUUCAAGCCAACCUGGACAACUGCUGUAUGAGGUGCUGUUUCGCAGGAGGAUCAGUGGGAAGGCGUCAGGUCAUGCAGAUGAUAGCAUCAAUUUCACAAUGCCCAGCCUUGGUGCCCUCCAUUAAGAGCAAGCCACUUGCGUUCGCCUUCAGGCAGAUGGUUGAUGUCUUCUAGGAAGCAGUUGGGAAGACUACAUUGAUGCAAGAUUCCAGCAAUGCCAUGCGCUGCAUUUAUUGGUCAAGAUGCUCAGAGAAUGGAGUCCCUGCACCUCGUGGUGAAACGUGAACAUUUUCUUUCUUUUGGAAAGCUAAACGUCAUUUGCUGUAUCAAUUGCAUUCUUGCAGCUCAGAUGUGUACUAUAUUUUUUCUAAUUUUGAAUCAAUUAAUAUUCACUUUUCUGUAUAAAAAUGACGUACAGUGUGAAGGACAAGGACUGCGAGAGAUGACAUACACUGCGCUGACUUCCAACAAUAUUUUAUUGCGUUGCCACAUCGUGUGUUUAUACACAAGAAGGGUCAUGCGCAGAAAAUGAAAGGCAGUCGCAAGGGGUGUUCUAACAGCAAGUCAUUGUACUAAGAACAUGGUCACUAAAAAAAAUCACAAUUUCUAUCUGUGGAGAUACAAGACUUCACUAGGGGUCAGCGUGAUAGAGGGGGCACUAACGCACACACUACCCAUUUUUCUGGUGAAAUAAGCAUCAAUAAUGUACCGGGUGAGCUGUGUUUCGCUAGAACUUGCGUAUCUUCAAAGAGGGGCAUGCAGCGGCAGUCCCGGCAAUGAAUGCCCAAGUGGCCUUGAACAGUGUUAUGGACGUUAUAGUGCACUUUUAAACGAUCAUUUAGGCACCUGCCUGUCCGUCCAACAUAUUUACUGCCUCAAAACGGGAAUAUGGUAAACCACAUUCGUUACACAUAUCGCAAAACGUUUUCUGUGCCCGACAGAGCAAGAACUCUGACACGAUUUAGGCGCGUUUACACGCUUAUAGAGCUUUGCCAGCUUUUCCGGGGCUGAGAAAAGGACUGGGAUUCCUGGAGGUUGCCAAAUCUUUUUUUAGC